This 497-nucleotide ribosomal RNA is filed under the name uncultured bacterium. RNAcentral describes it as "partial 16S ribosomal RNA". It matches the Rfam family "Bacterial small subunit ribosomal RNA", at positions 28 to 507 of the family's 1533-position model. The record is from RNAcentral.
GACGAACGCUGGCGGCGUGCCUAAUACAUGCAAGUUGAGCGCUGAAGGUUGGUACUUGUACCAACUGGAUGAGCAGCGAACGGGUGAGUAACGCGUGGGGAAUCUGCCUUUGAGCGGGGGACAACAUUUGGAAACGAAUGCUAAUACCGCAUAAAAACUUUAAACACAAGUUUUAAGCUUGAAAGAUGCAAUUGCAUCACUCAAAGAUGAUCCCGCGUUGUAUUAGCUAGUUGGUGAGGUAAAGGCUCACCAAGGCGAUGAUACAUAGCCGACCUGAGAGGGAGAUACGCCACAUUGGGACUGAGACACGGCCCAAACUCCUACGGGAGGCAGCAGUAGGGAAUCUUAGGCAAUGGACGAAAGUCUGACCGAGCAACGCCGCGGGAGUGAAGAAGGUUUUCGGAUCGUAAAACUCUGUUGGUAGAGAAGAACGUUGGUGAGAGUGGAAAGCUCAUCAAGUGACGGUAACUACGCAGAAAGGGACGGCUAACUACGUG